Molecule: long non-coding RNA, 29147 nt
Filed under: Triticum aestivum (bread wheat)
Lineage: Eukaryota; Viridiplantae; Streptophyta; Magnoliopsida; Poales; Poaceae
Description: long non-coding RNA (TAES_LNC007790)
Source: RNAcentral
UCAUUUACUCUGUCUUCCUCUCAAGUCUAACCGAAGCCCAACAAACCACCACCUCGGCCAUGGCAACCACCCUCGCCACCGACGUCCGCCUCUCCAUCGCGCACCAGACCCGCUUCGCCCUCCGUCUCGCCUCCACCAUCUCAUCCGCCCUAAGUCUGCUGCCAGCAAUGCCGCCUUCUCCCCGGUCUCCCUCCACUCCGCACUUAGCCUCCUCGACGCUGGCGCGGGCAGUGCCACUCGGGACCAACUCGUCGCCACACUCGGGACAGGCGAGGUCGAGGGACUCCACGCGCUCGCCGAGCAGGUGGUCCAGUUUGUGCUCGCCGACGCGUCCUCUGCUGGAGGUCCGCGUGUCGCCUUUGCCAAUGGCGUCUUCGUGGACGCGUCGCUGCUCCUCAAGCCAUCCUUCCAAGAGAUUGCAGUGUGCAAGUACAAGGCCGAGACCCAAUCCAUGGACUUCCAAACUAAGGUGACCCCCCCCCCCAACUUGGUUCUUACCAGAAAACAAAAACAAUGUAAAAGAAUUUUUAACGGACCUAAUUAUGUACAUUUGAGAGAAACAAUGACAUGCUUAACUAACUACUUCAGCCGCCUGUACAUGUUGGCAUGCCACUGCUUCACUCAGAGAGUUUGUUUUCUGCUGAUGUAAUAUAGAGGUCUAUAUUAAUCUUAUACACAUUCUAGAUUUGUAAUUUAGUGGUUAUCGUAUAUCACUGUUUUUUACACUAGAAGCUUCACCUUUGUAAGCAUAGUUCACACCUGCGACCUUGAACUGUGAAUGAUUUUGCUUAUCCUGUUAGUCAGCAUGAUUGGAGAUAACUAGUCUGUUACUUUUCUGAGCAUACCUAAUCUUUUGGGAGUGUAAUUCUCAUACCGUGCUAUCUAGGGAUAUGAAGGCUGGGGAAUUUGCUGAUGUUUUAUACUUUAAUUACGCUCUUCAGCGAAGUGAGAUUAUAAUUUUGGGAGUAUUUCCUGGAAACUUUGUCUCCAACGUAAGAAGAUGUACAAAAAAUCAGCUAAAGAUUAUAAUUUUGGGAAUAUUUCUGUAAAAGGUAUUGCAUAGUGGUGCUUCGAGAUGUUGUGAUGACCAUUUAAAUUUGUAUGCUCAUAUGAAUUGUUUUUCUAUCAUACGUCGUUGUAUGUGCUGAUUUUACUAUGUGUUUGAAAAUUUUACUAUAGAAAUGCUUUAUAAAAACGCUAGUAUGCUGCUUUGCAUUCUUAGCACAACUAUUAUAUUUUGUUCUUUGAAAGAAUUUUCUAUUGGUUUGUUCAAAGGUUGGUGGCACAGCAGUACCGUCAAACUAUUUUCAUUACAUAACUGACCUUUGUUUAUUUUUUCCAUGGCCCAGGCCGCUGAAGUUACUACUCAAGUGAACUCAUGGGUAGAGAAAGUCACGAGCGGUCGCAUCAAGGACAUUCUCCCCUCAGGAUCUAUUGACAAUACCACUAAACUUGUUCUUGCCAAUGCCCUUUAUUUCAAAGGAGCUUGGACAGAGCAGUUUGAUUCAUAUGGAACAAAAAACGACUACUUCUACCUUCUUGAUGGGAGCUCAGUUCAAACACCAUUCAUGUCCAGCAUGGAUGACCAAUACCUUUUGUCUUCUGAUGGGUUGAAGGUACUUAAGCUUCCUUACAAGCAAGGUGGGGACAAUAGGCAGUUCUCCAUGUAUAUCCUUCUUCCAGAAGCACCGGGUGGUCUCUCAAGCUUGGCCGAAAAAUUGAGUGCUGAACCAGACUUCCUGGAGCGGCAUAUCCCAAGGCAGAGGGUUGCACUUAGGCAAUUCAAGCUCCCCAAGUUCAAGAUAUCAUUUGGAAUUGAAGCAUCCGAUUUGCUCAAAUGUUUGGGCCUCCAGCUUCCAUUCGGCGAUGAAGCGGAUUUUUCGGAGAUGGUGGAUUCCCUAAUGCCACAAGGUCUUCGUGUCUCAUAUGUUUUCCACCAAGCGUUUGUGGAAGUGAACGAACAAGGAACUGAGGCUGCAGCAUCAACUACUAUUAAAAUGGUCCCGCAACAGGCAAGGCCGCCCUCGGUCAUGGAUUUCAUCGCGGAUCACCCUUUCCUCUUCCUUCUCCGGGAAGACAUCUCUGGUGUGGUCCUAUUCAUGGGUCAUGUGGUCAAUCCCCUCUUAUCUUCGUAAUGUGUUUGCUCUGAAAGUGUGUGUUGUCAGUUGCCCUCAGCCAUUACAUGUAAGGGAAGGGUUUCGACGGUCAGUCAUGUUACCGAUACAAUAAAUCCAAUAAAUGGUUCUCCUAAGAUAUCCAAUAAAUUGUCUUUUAAUAACUGCUUGCUUGUUGUGCAAAGGAAAACCAAUUGGACUAUUUUUCAUUAAUCAUUGUGGAUUUGUGGUAGUGCGGAUUUCUCAAAGAACUACUCAUGCCAAAAGAAAAAAUCUAAGUCAUCUUGAUUAGUACUAUCCGACAUGAAUCUCAUCGUCAUUAACAUCUAUAUUUCACAAAAAAAUGCCAAUGGCCACUUUUUGAGAUUGAAUAUGCUCUUCAAUUUCUCUUCUUCUUAGAUUUUUCAUAUCCUCGCUUAUCUUUAGAUACACUAUAACUCCUUGAGAUUGGAGCUCCCAGGGCCGAUUGUGUUGAUCGAUUUACAUGGCCCCACAUGAACGGACGUGACCUUCCACGCUACCCUCUUCCUUGCCGCAGAUCCUUCCUCAGUUUCUCUCCCUUCCGAGAAUCUAUUCCGACAUAGAGACAACGCCUCCAGCACUAUAGUUGGUGCGGCCGACCGCUUUCUGGCUCUCCUCUCCGAUUCCCUGCCUCAGAGCAUCUACAGCCUCAAACACGGUGUGUCUGCGGGCACUGAUCGGUCACUUCACAAAUUGGCAUCUACAUUCGUGUAUUUCAUAUCAGAUCUCCUAUAUCCAUACUAAACUAUGUAGCAUUGAUCAAACUACGUAUAUCAUCAAACGGACAAAAAAUGCACUAUACGUUCAUCAAAAGAUCAUCAACGGAUCUUCGAAAUACCGCCAAAGUUCACAUAGUGCACAUAAAUGACGGACAACUUUAAACUACGUCUAAAAACUGAGCGGAUCUUCAUCACUUCCUCGCCGGAACUUUCCCUUUUCGGUCGCCAGCACAGCUGUAGGCGUCGGCGGCUGGUGGAGGAUCGUCCGAGUCGUCGGACGAGGCGCCGUGGUCGUCACUAUCGUCAGAGGAGGAGCAGAGGAUGAUGAGGCGUUUGAGGCGCCGGACGGCCCGGUCCUGCUGCCGUUUGAGCUCCGCCAGCCGAGCCGCCUCCAAUGCUUUCUCCUCUGCCUCGCGCUCGAACUGCUCGAUGGCAAGCCGGAGCACCUUGGCGUUCUUCCAGCGGAGCUGCCGAUCAUCCGUCUCCGCUGUCGUAAGCGACCGGCAGUAGACCCAAGUGGGGAACCGCUCGUCCCCGUCGAGCUCCGCCGGAAACCCGCGGCGGCGGCGGACAUAUUACUCCUCCGCGUCCCUCUCCCUUGCCCGCUGCCUGCGGUGGCGGGCGUCGGACAGAUUUCUCCGCCGCGUCCCUCUUCCUUGCUCGCUGCCUGUCGUGGCGGGCGGCGCGCGCCUAGCGUGCAUGCCGCGCUCGCUGGGCGGGCACAAGUACCCACCGCUACCCAUGUGGGGGAGCAGCAGCCGACGAGGACAGGGGAUAGUGUGGGGGAGGCGCGGACUGCGCAGCCCUCGUGGCGCUGCGUGUGGGCCGGGAGGGGCCUGCGCCGGCGUCCUCGCUGCGCUGGAAGGGGAGAGGUGAGGCGGCAGAUCCGGAACUGACCUCCGUGUCCACCUUGGACCUCUCGACGGCAAUGCGGAGAGCCAGCACCUCGUCGAUGUUGACGUCAGAGUCGGAGCGGCUGCCGGAACUAGACAUGGUCGCCGGAGUCGUUUGACUGAAUCGAAUCUGGGAAAUCCGAGGAGGAGAAGAGAUGAAACGAGAGCGGAGCGAGGUAGGGUUUUCGAUUGGGGAUAUUUGUGGUGACGGCGUGGGGCCGGUGUGGACCGGGCUACCAUGGCGGACGCACCCGGGGCGCUCGAUAUCCGCCCUAGAUUUGAUCUGAAUAUGAGGGGAGUGAGACAGUCCAAGCAUUUGAGGCUUGUUUGAGGACACGUCUGGAUCAAAUUUUCAUGCUCGGUCAAUGAUCGCGCCAUCCGUCCGGACGUUUGAGACGGAUUUAGAAUGCGCGCCUGUAGAUGCUCUCGGCCUCAAUCUUUCGCCUCCAAACGUUCCCCCGCGACCAACCCAAUCCAGGCCUCGUUCACCGUCUAGCAGUCGUCUGCGCCGCCUCCCGCAAUUCCUCCGACCUCCGGUGCAACACUUCAUGUAACUUCCCUGGAUCAUCGCGCUUCCCGCGCCGUCUCGUCGACAGUCGACGUGCGCUUCUCAUGUUCAAUUUUUCAAGGAUAGUGUCACCGCUUUUUUCUCAUAGUGUUUGGCUGCUCGAUCACCUGGCCGCUGUUAAUCUCAUCUCGGUGAUGCAGCAAACAAAGGAGAGUGCGGGUCUGCAGUUCAAGGUCAGACUGCAGUGCAACUGUGCAAUGUAAGUUUGACUGACACGCUUGGAUCUGCCGCGUCUUUGUGCUGGGUGCUAGUCGCUGCCCUGCUAGAUGCAUGGAAGAGUUGCAUGUAUACACACCGGUGUUGAGCGUUGGUGGCCUCAUUGGUGACUGUCGUGGUUCUAAGUCUGACAAUAGAAUGGGGGGUAAGUAUGGAAAGGCAAGGUCCUAGCUAUGGAGUAGUUGUACACACGGGUGUUUAGCGAGUUUAGACCCUUCUCUGAGGAAGUAACAGCCCUACGUCUCGGAGCCCGGAGGCGGUCGACUGAUCUCUAUGUAUAUGAGUUACAGAAGUGCGAACCUUUCUACCAGUGGAGGGGGGUGGCUUAUAUAGAGGACGCCAGGACCCCAGCCAGCCCACAUAGAGGAGGGUUAAAGUACAUUAAGGCUGGGCGUUACUGGUAACGCCCUAUAUAAAGUGUCAUCAUGACCAUUAAGACUAUUUAAUUACAGACCGUUUGGAUGCAGAGUAGAUCCUGAACUUCCGAUAGUCGAGUGCGUCUUCAUGGUCGAGUGUCUUCUAGCUAGUCGGGUGGAGUCUCCCUUGGUAGAGUGGAGCUUCUUUUGGUCGACCGGAAGGUAGCUUCGUAUGAUAAUGUCCUUUGGCAUGGUAUCCUAGAUAGGUCCAUGACCCUAACCUAGGUACAUAACCUCAUCAUUAGCCCCCGAAUGGAUCGAGGUUCGAGUGAGGAAGGAGUUGACGAUUUUCUCCGACUUAUUUACUGUACUUUGAUUGUGUCGUAUCUUGGAUCGGCGAUUCUUCUUUCGGCGCUGGCGUCGACUUUUACUUCAGUCGCCUUGAUCCAUUCUUAUCUUUUGUCGAGUGAACUUUUGAACUCCGGUGAACUUACGAGCGACGGAUCGCGGGAAGGAUAUCGUCUGACAGAUUGAUCUGCUGUUAGCGGAUUUUGCGGGAUCUGAAAUUUGGGAAGCGCACGAAGCGGGGCAAUCCGCGGCAAUCGGGCGGGAUAAGGCAUGGACGCCUUGAUUUCCGCGUCGCCUUUUUCGCCACGUAUCGUACGUGUGCGACUGUUUCGGGAUGUGACAGAUCUGCUCGGACCCACUCGUCAGCCACUCGGAAGCGCCCUUAUAUAAAGCGUCGGGGAAGAGUUUUUGAACAGUGCCUCCCCAUUCUCCUCUCUUCCCUCUCUGCCUCCGCCCACGGCGCCUGCUCCUAGCUCCGCCUUAUCCACCUCUCGAGCGCUUCGCCGACGAUAAUGGUGAAGGAGAAGACGGCGGUUCUAGAGCGCGCGAAGAAGGUGACGGCGACGGGGCAAGCGAAGGGGAGACCGUCCAGUCGGGGCGGAUCUUCGUCGAGGUCCCGCCUGCCGAAGGGUUGGGUCCAAGGGGAUUGGAUCCGCUCGACCAUCACUGGGAAGGACCUCGACGACCUGGCCAAUGAGGGACUGAUCCCCCACGGGUCAGCAAGGCCCCCGGGGUCCGAGUGUCAACCGCAGCCGCAGGAGGGUGAGCGCGUUCUCUUAGCCACUCACGUAGAUCGUGGUUUUUCUCUGCCGCCGAGUGUGUUCUUCCGUGGGUUUCUGAAAUUCUUUGGGGCGCAACUCCACCAUUUCAAUCCCAAUUCCAUCGCCUAUCUUGCUGCCUUUGUGUCCAUGUGCGAGAACUUCCUGGGUUGUCGACCGCACUGGGGUCUCUUCAAGCACAUAUUCACCUGUCGGUCGCAGACCGUAAAAAAGGCGAGCUCGGGUGAUGAGAGGACCAAGGUUAUUCAGAUGUGCGGGGGUCUUGGGAUUCAGUUGAGGAAUAAGAGCACUUUCCCGGCCAUGACCCUUCCUGAGUCGGUCAGAGGGUGGCAGUCGACUUGAUUCUACUGCCAAGACGAGUCGACGCCGGGGCAGUCGACUGGUCUCCCUCCGUUCUCCAUGGACCGAGUGGUCAAACCGUCUUCUCUGAAGGUGCUUCCUGAGGAGAAAGCCGAGGUAAAAAUGUUGGUGGAGCGCAUGGUCCAACUCGUUCGGGACGGAGUGACGGGCAUGGAUCUUCUGAAAGUAUUCCUUAGGCGGCGCAUCCAACCGCUCCAGUAUCGAGGCCACCCGAUGUGGUUGUACUGCGGUACCGAAGACACCACUCGGGUCCAUCCAGAGGCAGUCGACGACGCCACGCUGGAGAGGUGGGUGACCUCCAUCACAGGGAACAAGGACAACCGUCGAGGAGUGAGGAGGAUCCCGCCACUCGACUGUACCUAUACGCCGGACAAGGUAUGGCCGCUUAUCUCCGAGUGUAAUUUUGUUUUAUCCAUUCUGCUUUGCCACAAAUUGGUCGAUUGAUCUUUGUUUUGCUCUGUUGUCUGAUAGGCCACCACUGAAUUGUACUCGAUUCCCAAUGGGGCGCAGACGCCGACUGAGGAGGAGGAAGGAAGCGGGGGCGAAAGCCCGGAGGAGUGGGAUUCAGAUGUCGACGACGACGAUGAGGGUGAUGACUCUAGUGAGGAGGAAGAAGAGGAGGAAGAGGAGGAAGUUGCACCUCCCCGCUCGGAAAGACGCUCGAAGCUUGCCCAUGAUCCAGCGACUGAGCGGGGUAAGGGGGUCGCAACCGCUUCUCAGUCGACCAAGCGCCCUCGGACCACUUCUCCGGCGCCGACUGAGAAGGCUCCGAAGCAAUCUCGAGUGGCACCGUCGAAGCCUGCAAAGGUCUUGCCGAAGAUGAAGAUGGUGAUCCCCACUAUCUCAGGGUAAUGGUAGUUUUGAGCUUUCCCUGUUUCAUGAACUUGUUCUUGGUCGACUCAUGGUCCAAUCGACUGACUUUUGGAACUGCAGCGUUGCUACUUCCGACACUUCGGCGAGAGCCGAAGACCACGAGAUGGAGGAUGCUGCAACCUCGAACCCUGGUAUGACUCCUGCGUUGCCGUUUUCAGUCGACUGACUCAUUGUCUCUAAUUUUUAUUCUUUCUGCAGUUUCAUCUAACAUUGUUAUUGACCUUCCUGACGACGACGAUGAAUAACCACCACGGCCGAGGAAAAGCAAGAAAACGUCGGCUGGCAAGGCGACUCAGGAUGUGCCGGCACCCGAGACGUUAGUCGUGGAGGGAGACAAUGUCACUCGACCCACCGUAACCUUCGCGGUGCCGUUGAUGAGUGCUCGCCCUUCAUCGUCGAGUGCUGCUCAACCCUCGCUUUUCUCCACCUACCCCGUUCCAGAAGACCAAGCCAGUGCUGCCAAAGAAGCGAUACGCCAGGCGGGGGUCAUGAUGGAGCAAGUGAAGGCAAUUCGAGAAGCCAGCCAGGCAGCCUAUGACGCCAGUUCGGCACUCCAGAGUAAUGUUCAGGUCAGUCGGUCACUGCCUGUUCUUCUUUCUGAAAUUCCUAGAGUCUGUCCUACACCCAGUGGGUGUGUGUCGAUUAAAAUUCCGGGUUAGUGGGGGCACGCUGAGUGCACCCACUGGGUGUAGUCCCCAAGGCUAUGGUGGACUGCUGGCAGUCGACCAUAGUCUUAAUGCUUUGAGUUUUUCUUUACUCGACAAGGUCGAAUAGAUUCAUAGACCGGUGGGGGCACGCUGAGUGCACCCACUGGGUGUAGUCCCCGAGACUGUGGUCGACUGCUGGCAGUUGACUAUAGUCUAAAGAACAUUGCCUCUCUUUUUUUUGUUGGUCGACUAGUCGACUCUUGAUGAAACUAGUGGGGGCACGCUGAGUGCACCCACUGGGUGUAGUCCCCGAGACUAUGGUCGAAUGUUUGCAUUCGACCGUAGUCUUAGAAACGCUAUGAUUUUUCCUUACUCACUCGGAAGUGAAUUUUCUUUGACGUCUGUCGAUUGAUUCUUCGUAGAAAUCAUGUGACCUUGUGGCUCGUUAUACUGAGUUGGAGAACAAACACAUUCAGCUCGAGCUCGAUCUGAAACUGGCCCAAGAGACCUUGACGAAGGCGAAGGAGGAAGCUAAAGGUAUGCUUGGUGAGGCCUUUGACGACUGCCUUUGCCUCUCACUUGUUUCCGAAUCUGAUCUCACUGUAACUUUGUAGGCAAAGUGAUGGACGCCCUGAAGAAACAAGAGCUUGACUUGGCUGAGAUGCAAAAGACUGCUUUAGAGAAGACCAGGCUAGCGGAUGAGAAGCUGGCUUCAGUGACUAAGCUUGAAGAAGAAAACACCAAUCUGAAAGCUGCUCUUGAUGCUGCCAACCAGGAGGUCACUUAACUGAAAAGCGACAAGACCACCCUGAAUGACAAGGCCAGUGAGUUGAAGAGAAAGAAGAAUGAUCUAGAGGCUUAUCUGGGUGGACUCGCCAAGAAGUUGUUCCUCAUGCUUGAAGGUAAUCCUUUGUAUCGAACAAAUAUUUUAAUUGUAACCUCUGACUGUUUGUCUUGACUCGGUGGUUGUGCUUGCAGAAUUUUGUCAGAACUUUGAAGAGGAGACUGGUCGACUGGAAGUGAACCUGGACCCCAUCAACUCUCCUGUGAAAGAUGAAGUUGCCAUGAACAUGCUCCGACUUGAAUCUCGUGUUGCUGCUAUCAUCGAUUAUCUCGCAAGGCUGAAGGUCGCAACUUCCUGCAUCGACACAACACUCUGGCCAAGAGAGACACUCCAGAACGACCUCGAGUCUCUGAUGACUCGACUGAACGAGGUCCCAAGUCGAGUGCAGGAGUGGAAGAAGUCUUCGGCCAGGUGUGGCGCGGAUGUUGCUCUAUCUCUGGUCCGCGUUCACUGCAAGGAUGCAUGAGAGGACAAGCUGGUGGCUCUCAGGGUGGCCAACACCAAGAAGCACGAUUUCAGAUCCUUCAUGGAGACCUUCAUUGCCGCUGCCACUCGGAUUGCAGAUGGAAUCGAUCUGGACGAGUUUGUGGCACCUUCCAGCCCUCCACAGGAGGGGUAAAAAACUUUUGAGCUUGAUACUUUAAAUUUGCCUCGGUAUGCCGAGUGAGUUUUGUAACCGACAAACCUUAACAGGCCUAGCGCCUGAGCACUUUCGGUUCCGCUAGGUGUUAUCCAAACUUGGGUUCGUCGCUGAAUAUGUUUGCAUUUGGUUUGAGGCGUCUUUUGCAGGUUAAAGCGAAGCGCUUAUUGCCAUCGACUUGUCCCCCAAUUCACUUAGGCGGGCACUGGGCUGCAGCUAAGUCCCCGAGCGAGAGGUUUUCCCUCCACUCGGUAGGAUUUCAGACACUUAGGCGAGCACUGGGCCGCAGCUAAGCCCCCGAGUGGGAGGUCUGCUCUCCACUCGGUAGGAUUUCAGAAACUUAGGCGAGCACUGGGCUGCAGCUAAGCCCCCGAGUGGGAGGUCUGCUCUCCACUCAGUAGGAUUUCAAACACUUAGGCGAGCACUGGGCUGCAGCUAAGCCCCCGAGUGGGAGGUCUGCUCUCCACUCGGUAGGAUUUCAGACACUUAGGCGAGCACUGGGCUGCAGCUAAGCCCCCGAGUGGGAGGUCUACUCUCCACUCGGUAGGAUUUCAGACNNNNNNNNNNNNNNNNNNNNNNNNNNNNNNNNNNNNNNNNNNNNNNNNNNNNNNNNNNNNNNNNNNNNNNNNNNNNNNNNNNNNNNNNNNNNNNNNNNNNNNNNNNNNNNNNNNNNNNNNNNNNNNNNNNNNNNNNNNNNNNNNNNNNNNNNNNNNNNNNNNNNNNNNNNNNNNNNNNNNNNNNNNNNNNNNNNNNNNNNNNNNNNNNNNNNNNNNNNNNNNNNNNNNNNNNNNNNNNNNNNNNNNNNNNNNNNNNNNNNNNNNNNNNNNNNNNNNNNNNNNNNNNNNNNNNNNNNNNNNNNNNNNNNNNNNNNNNNNNNNNNNNNNNNNNNNNNNNNNNNNNNNNNNNNNNNNNNNNNNNNNNNNNNNNNNNNNNNNNNNNNNNNNNNNNNNNNNNNNNUAAGCCCCCGAGUGGGAGGUCUGCUCUCCACUCGGUAGGAUUUCAGACACUUAGGCGAGCACUGGGCUGCAGCUAAGCCCCCGAGUGGGAGGUCUGCUCUCCACUCGGUAGGAUUUCAGAAACUUAGGCGAGCACUGGGCUGCAGCUAAGCCCCCGAGUGGGAGGUCUGCUCUCCACUCGGUAGGAUUUCAAACACUUAGGCGAGCACUGGGCUGCAGCUAAGCCCCCGAGUGGGAGGUCUGCUCUCCACUCGGUAGGAUUUUUGAAUUGGUGGCGCAACUCGGAAGGAGAGGGUAGCAGUCGACCUGCACCUCGUCCUCCUUGCGGAACGCAUGUUGUACUUGUACUUAGGCGAGUUCUUGGACUGCAGCUAGGCCUCCGAGUGGAAGGCUGGCUUACCACUCGGUAGGAUUUUAUUUAUCUUAGGCGAGUACUUGGACUGCAGCUAAGCCUCCGAGUGGAAGGCUGGCUUACCACUCGGUAGGAUUUUAUUUAUCUUAGGCGAGUACUUGGACUGCAGCUAAGCCUCCGAGUGGAAGGCUGGCUUACCACUCGGUAGGAUUUUAUUUAUCUUAGGCGAGUACUUGGACUGCAGCUAAGCCUCCGAGUGGAAGGCUGGCUUACCACUCAGUAGGAUUUUAUUUAUCUUAGGCGAAACGGAUUUUACAGCUAAGCCUUCGUGUGGGAGACUGACUCACCACUCGGUUAGGAUUUGUUUUUACAGACUUAGGCGAAUCGGAUUCGCAGCUAAGCCACCCACUGGGGGAUUGUUUUAUAUGGACAAAAGUAAUAACAAUCACUGGGAAAACUAUAAAGCUCUUGUCUUUGAUAAAUAAACUACAGGAGUACUUUUAUUACAACUCAUCCGAGUGAAUACCUAAGUGUAAAAGGGGCGGAGAAGCUCCGCGUUCCAAGCUCGGGGCUCGUCAAUCUGAUGCUUGACAUUGUAAAGACGGUAUGCUCCAUUGUGGAGAACCUUGGUGACCAUGAAGGGACCUUCCCAAGAAGGAGCAAGCUUGUGUGGUUUCUGCUGGUCCACUCGGAGAACUAAAUCUCCUUCCUGGAAGGCUCGACUCUUCAUGUUUUUGGCGUGGAAGCGACGCAAGUCUUGUUGAUAAAUGGUCGAUCUGAUCAGAGCCAUCUCUCUUUCUUCCUCUAAAAGGUCGACUGCGUCCUGCCGCGCUUGUUCUGCUUCAGCUUCGGUGUAGAGCUCGACUCGGGGAGCGUUGUGGAGAAGAUCACUCGGCAAGACUGCUUCAGCUCCGUAGACCAAGAAGAAUGGAGUUCUUCCAGUCGACCGGUUGGGUGUGGUCCUUAACCCCCAAAGCACCGAGGGAAGUUCGUCAACCCAUGCACCAGCCGCAUGCUUGAGAUCACGCAUCAAACGGGGCUUCAACCCUUUGAGAAUUAAACCGUUGGCUCAUUCUGCCUGUCCAUUCGUCUGCGGAUGGGCAACUGAAGCAUAGUCGACUCGCGUGCCUUGAGACGUGCAGAAAGCUCUGAAUUCUUCAGAAUCGAAGUUUGACCCGUUAUCAGUGAUGAUGUUGUGCGGGACUCCAUAUCUAAAUAUCAGUUCUCGGAUGAAGCUGACAGCGGUACCAGCAUCGAGGUUCUUGAUGGGUUUGGCCUUAAUCCACUUGGUAAACUUGUCGACUGCUACCAGCACAUGUGUGAAACCGCUUCUUCCUGUUCUCAAUGGGCCAACCAUAUCCAAACCCCAUACAACAAAGGGCCAGACAAGUGGUAUGGUCUUUAAGGCUGAGGCAGGCUUGUGUGACAUAUUGGAGUAAAAUUGACAUCCCUCACACUUGUCGACUAUCUCCUUCGCCAUUUCAUUCGCUCUGGGCCAAUAAAAACCAGCUCGGUAUGCUUUGGCCACGAUGGUCCGAGAAGACGCAUGAUGGCCACAGGUCCCCGAGUGGAUGUCAUUGAGAAUCAUUCGACCUUCCUCCGGUGUUAUGCAUUUCUGGCUGACUCCAGUCGCACUUUCUCUGUACAACUGACCUCUCAUGACGGUGAAGGCUUUGGACCGGCGGACGAUCUCUCGAGCUUCUUCUUCAUUCUCGGGGAGUUCCUUCCUCAAAAUAUAGGCGAUGUAGGGCACUGUCCAAUCGGGAGUGAUGACCAAAACUUCCAUGAUCAAGUCGACCACCGCUGGGACCUCGACUUCAGUCGGAUCUGUGGCGCUUUUAGGCUGCGGGGCUUCUGCAGUGAAAGGAUCCUCUUGAACCGAUGGCGUGUAGACAUGUUCCAAAAACACGCCACUCGGAAUGGCUUCCCUCUUGGAACCUAUCUUUGCCAAGUCAUCGGCUGCUUGAUUUUUCAGUCGGGGAACGUGAUGGAGUUCUAACCCUUCGAAUUUCUUUUCAAGCUUCCUCACUGCAUUGCAGUAUCUAGUCAUGGAUGGGCUUCUCACGUCCCACUCCUUCAUCACCUGAUUGACCACCAAAUCUGAGUCGCCGUAAACCAUAAGGCGACGGACGCUGAGUGAAAUGUCCAUGCGCAACCCAUACAACAGUGCUUCAUAUUCUGCUUCAUUGUUGGAGGAAUCAAAGUGGAUCUGGAGCACAUAUCUGAGCUUAUCUCCUCGGGGAGAAACCAAAACUACCCCAGCACCAGAACCAUUUAACAUCUUAGAGCCAUCAAAGAACAUGGUCCAAUGCUCCGAGUGAACUUGAGUCGGCUGCUGCUGUUCAAUCCACUCGGCAAGGAAAUCUGCUAUAGCCUGGGACUUAAUGGCUUUCUUUGCCUCGAAUUUGAUAUCAAGGGGAAGGAGUUCAAUCGCCCAUUUAGCCACUCGACCAGUUGCAUCUCUGUUGUGCAGAAUCUCCGACAAUGGUGCGUCGCUGACGACUAUAAUGUCAUGAUCAGAGAAAUAAUGAGCAACCUUCUUCAUGGUCAUGUAGAUCCCAUAUACGAGCUUCUGAUAAUGAGGAUAUCUUUGCUUCGAUCGGGUCAAAACUUUAGAGAGAUAAUACACUGGGCGCUGAACUUUGAAGGCUUUCCCUUCUACUUCCCGCUCGACCGUAAGUAUUGUACUGACGACUUGUCCUGUGGCUGCAAUAUAAAGCAACAGUGGCUCUUUACUGAUUGGAGCGGCAAGCACCGGCUAGGUGGAGAGCAGAGUUUUUAACUCGGCAAACGCUGCAUCAGCUUUUGGAGUCCACUCGAACUUGUCUGCCUUCUUCAUCAGUCGGUAAAGGGGCAACGCCUUUUCACCGAGGCGAGAGAUGAAUCGACUUAACGCGGCCAGGCAUCCAGUAAGCUUCUGGACAUCGUGCACACGCACAGGGCGUUUCAUUCGGAGUAUGGUGCCAACUUUUUCUGGGUUAGCAUCGAUUCCUCGUUCCGAAACGAGAAAACCGAGUAACUUCCCACCAGGUACUCCGAAUGUGCACUUUGAAGGAUUGAGCUUGAUAUCAUACCUCCUGAGAUUGGCAAAUGUUUCAGCUAAGUUAGUCAACAGGUCGGAACCCUUUCGCGACUUGACCACGAUAUCAUCCAUGUAUGCUUCCACAUUCCAACUAAUUUGAGUGAGUAAACACUUUUGAAUCAUUCUCAUGAAUGUGGCUCCGGCAUUCUUGAGGCCGAAAGGCAUGGUGAUAUAGCAGAAGCACCCGAAUGGGGUGAUGAAAGCUGUUUUGAUUUCAUCGGGCCCAUACAGACGGAUCUGAUGAUACCCGGAAUAAGCGUCCAGAAAAGACAAUCUCUCGCACCCUGCGGUCGAGUCGACAAUUUGGUCGACGCGAGGGAGAGGAAAAUGAUCUUUCGGGUAGGCCUGAUUGAUAUGUUUGAAAUCAAUGCACAUACGAAGGGAAUUGUCCUUUUUGCGAACCAUAACGACAUUGGCGAGCCACUCGGAGUGGUAUAUCUCUCGGAUGAACUCUGCUGCAAGGAGUCGAGCCACCUCUUCGCCAAUGGCUUUUUUGUUCUGAACAGCGGACCGUCGAAGAUGUUCUUUAACGAGUUUUGCCUUUGAAUCGACUCUAAGGCGAUGCUCAGCCAGUCCCCUGGGAACACCUGGCAUGUCAGCUGGCUUCCAUGCGAAGAUGUCCCAGUUCUCACGGAGGAACUGGAUGAGCGCUUCUUCCUAUUUAGAGUCGGGUGUAGUGGAAAUAUGGGUCGGAGCUGCAUUGGGGUCAGUCGGGUGGAUGUGAACUGGCUUCGUCUCACCGGACGACUGAAAUGCUGACUCUGUGGCGGGCUUCUUGGCUCGCAGUAAAUCACUCGGAUCUGCGUUCUUCUUGUACCCCUCUAGCUCUAUCACUGUUAUCUGGUCAUCCGCAAUCUUUGAGCCUUUCUGGAAACACUCUUCUGCUUUCUUCCGGUUACCAGUGACGGUGAUCACGCCUUUGGGGCCAGGCAUCUUUAACUUGAGGUACACGUAACAUGGUCGAUCCAUGAAGCGGGCGUAGGCUGGUCUUCCCAAGAUAGUGUGGUAGGCGCUCUGGAAAUCCACGAUUUCAAAUGUCAGCUUCUCUUUGCGGAAAUGCUUCGAGUCACCGAACACCACAUCCAGAGCUAUUUGGCCGAGUGACUCAGCCUUCUUUCCUGGGAUGACUCCGUGAAAACUCAUGUUGCUGGAACUGAGCCUGGACAUCGGAAUGCCCAUUCCCUUGAGCGUCUCUGCAUAUAGUAUGUUCAACCCGCUGCCGCCAUUCAUCAAUACCUUCGUCAGUCGAGUGCCUUCGACGACCGGGUCGGCCACCAGUGCUUGCCUCCCAGGGGUGGCAAUAUGAGUAGGAUGGUCCGACUGGUCGAAAGUAAUGGGAGUUUGCGACCAUCUCAGAUAGUUUGGUGUUGCUGGUGCGACCAUAUUGACUUCACGGUUGAUCACUUUCAGUCGACUUUUGCUCUCUACAUCAGCAAAAAUCAUCAGAGUGAAGUUGACAUGAGGGUACUCACCAUCACUGUCCUGCUUGUCCUCAGCCUUGUCUGACUCCUUCUCUUUGUCCUUCAGCUGUUUCCCUUGGAACUGCUGGAUUAAGAGCCGGCACUGGCGAGUGGUAUGCUUUGGGUAGAUGAAGUUACCCUCUUCGUCUUUCUUCGUGUGGAUAUGACACGGCAGGUCCAUCACAUCAUUACCCUCCUUAUCUUUUACCUUCUUGGGGUUCCAAGAUCCUUUGGGCUUCCCUUUAAAUUUGCCCUGUGUCACGGCUAGAGCCUCUCCAGGAGCUGCUGGCUCGGCCUUCCGCUUCUGCUUCCGACUGGAGUUUCCUUUAUCCGACUAACUCGGCUUGUACUUGCCGCUCCGGAGUCGGUCCUCUUCUUCGCCGUUGGCGUACUUGGUGGCUAUUUCCAUCAUCCGACUCAGGGUCAUGUCUCCAGUUCGACCAAACUUCAGGCUCAACUCUUUGUUCUUGACGCCAUCUUUGAAGGCGCAAACCGCUUGAUGGUCCGACACAUUCUCUACAGUGUGAUGCAAAGUGAUCCACCUCUGGAUGUAAUCCCUCAGUGUUUCACUCGACUUUUGUACACAAACUUGUAGCUCAGUUAAUCCAGCAGGUCGCUUGCAAGUUCCCUCAAACGUCCUGACGAACACUCGAGAAAGAUCUACCCAGGUGUAAAUGUUGCUGGGAGCUAACUGAUUCAACCAUGCCCUGGCUGAACCUCCUAGAAUAAGUGGCAAAUGUUUCAUGGCCACCUCAUCAUUACCGCCACCAAUCUGAACAGCCACUCGGUAGUCUUCGAGCCAAGUUUCAGGCUUAGACUCUCCGGUGAACUUAUUCACCCCAUUCGCCAACCUGAAGUUGGGGGGUAUCACUGCGGUUCUGAUCGCUCUGCGAAAACAUUCUGGACCUGAAACAUGGACUCGGCUGCUUGUGGGCACAUCUCUGUCAUGACCACCUCUAUGAGCUCUGUUUCAGUCGACCAAACCUUGCACGAUGAUGGAUCUCGCGUCAAAGCCUGGCUCUCUGGGGUCGACUGGAGCUCUCUGCCCAACACUGAGCUGGCUUCUAUCAUCUUGCUGCCGAUGGGCGUUAGACCCACUUCUCGGAGGAGGAGUGGGCACUCGACGCCUGUCAUCACGAUCAAAUCGAUCAUCAUAGUGGUCCCGCCGGCCUUCACGUCCCACGCGCCUCGGAGGCGACCUUGGACUGUCAGCUGACUGAAUAGUAUUCGCAGCAACAGAUCGACUGUGAAUCCUGUUAGGUGACUGUGACACAGCUGAAUUCUGAUCUCCUGCUGCCCGGAGCAAAUCUCUGAUCUGCAUCAAGCCUCUUCCAGCCUCUGACUGAGAGGGCUGAAUUGACUCUGCUAUGCGGGCUGCAGCUGCCAAAUUCUGAAUUGGGGUUCGAUAUACCUGAGUUGGUUGCGGAAAGAGCUGACGUCGAUUGGAGUUAGUCGCUCGUUGACGCGCAUGCUCGUCGAGUGCUCGCUGAAGGUUCUCCAGUCGAGUGUGUUCAGCCAGGUUGGCUAAACGCGCCUCUUCCAGGGCACGAGCCUCAGGAGUUUCUCCUGCAAUGGGAGUAUGCAGGGCAUCCAUGUUCUGGCGGCGAAGUUCUUCCCUCUGCUGGGAAGUGAGCGGCUCGGGUUGGUACUCUUCAUGGGCUUGAGCAGGGUCAUCCUCGUCGUCCAUCCCGUCGCCACGGGGGAAACCGGGAGGACUACGGGGCCCAUUGACCAUCAGGACCUCCGCCGUCGGAUCACUGCUAUCGCACUCGGAUGCAGCCUCUACAGAGCCAGUCGACAGGUCGAAUAGGCCGUAGAGAGAUCCGUCAGGCUCAAUCGCCGCGACUUGGGUGGUGGCCGAUUGGCGAGCCACUGCGUGUCUCACCCAUCGCUGGAGCCUCAACCGACCGGAGCGCUUGCGCUGGCGGGAGACAGGGAGGGAGGACGGCGCAGGAGUCGACCGGUAUGGGGUCGACGGCUGCCGCAGCAAGACGCUGCGGACACACACCCGAAAGUGCAUCGCCCCGCGGACGGGGAGCGCUCCGAUGUCGAGUGGUGCCUCCUGGAGCCAAGCGGAGUCGUCGGCGAUGAAAGUGAGCGCACCGAGACGGAUCUCGUGGCCCUCGACCAGAGCUCUGCCAGAAACCAUGAUGAAGGCGAUCGGACAAAUUGCAACUUCUCCAAAAAAGUCGCUAAGACACCUGCCCCACGGUGGGCGCCAACUGUCGUGGUUCUAAGUCUGACAGUAGAAUGGGGGGUAAGUAUGGAAAGGCAAGGUCCUAGCUAUGGAGUAGUUGUACACACGGGUGUUUAGCGAGUUCAGGCCCUUCUCUGAGGAAGUAACAGCCCUACGUCUCGGAGCCCGGAGGCGGUCGACUGAUCUCUGUGUAUAUGAGUUACAGGGGUGCGAAACUUUCUACCAGUGGAGGGGGGUGGCUUAUAUAGAGGACGCCAGGACCCCAGCCAGCCCACGUAGGGGGGGUAAAAGUACAUUAAGGCUGGGCGUUAUUGGUAACGCCCUACAUAAAGUGUCAUCAUGACCAUUAAGACUAUUUAAUUACAAACCGUUUGGAUGCAGAGUAGAUCCUGAACUUCCGAUAGUCGAGUGCGUCUUCAUGGUCGAGUGUCUUCUAGCCGGUCGAGUGGAGUCUCCCUUGGUCGAGUGGAGCUUCUUUUGGUCGACUGGAAGGUAGCUUCAUAUGAUAAUGUCCUUGGGCAUGGUAUCCUAGAUAGGUCCAUGACCCUACCCUAGGUACAUAACCUCAUCAGUGACCCCGUGGACGAAAAAGGUCUGAACAUUUUUCUGAUUUGCACACACCCUGUCGAUCCUGGACACACCAGAAAAGGCCAAUCUUUUUUAUUUAGCUGCCUAUGUUUUUACACAAAACUAUGAAGAACAUAGAGGGCAGCUUUGGGUCACGGAAAAAACUUAUACUGUGUGCAAAAGAAAUCAUGAUUUCAGCAGCACUGAAUAUGUACAGCAAAGGUCGAAACAAUUUAUCAAAAAAUGUGUCUGUGUUUCAUUCUUCCGCAAUACAAUAAGAAGUCCACCACUAAAGCUUUUUCCUCCUCCACAAGUAAAGUCCCUUAUCCUCCGGUCGGCGUCGCCGUCGGUCCGCCCCAUCUCUGAUGGCCUCUGGGCCAUGGAGUCGCCGAGGAUCCCAGCCCUUGUUCUCCUCCUUGUUAGAUUUAGCGUCUUGGUUGGGGUUGGGUGGAGGCGGCGAUGUCCCUUAAUAGGAAUAAUGUAUGAUUGGUUAUCUUUGUAAGUAUCUUCGAGUUAUCAGUUUGGUUUGGCCUACUAGAUUUAUCUUUCUUGCAAUGUUAGAAGUGCUUAGCUUUGGGUUCAAUCUUGCGGUGUCCUUUCCCAGUGACAGCAGGGGCAGCAAGGCACGUAUUGUAUUGUUGUCAUCGAGGAUAAAAAGAUGGGGUUUAUAUCAUAUUGCUUGAGUUUAUCCCUCUACAUCAUGUCAUCUUGCCUAAUGUGUUACUUUGUUCUUAUGAAUUUAAUACUCUAUAUGCAAGCUGGAUAGCGGUCAAUGUGUGGAGUAAUAGUAGUAAAUGCAGGCACGAGUCGGUCUACUUGUCGUGGACGUGAUGCCUUGAUACGUCUCCAACGUAUCUAUAAUUUUUUAUUGUUCCAUGCUAUUAUAUUACCCGUUUUGGAUGUUUAUGGACUUUACUUUACACUUUUAUAUUAUUUUUGGGACUAACCUACUAACCGGAGACCCAACCCGUAUUGCUGUUUUUUUUGCCUAUUUCAGUGUUUUGAAGAAAAGGAAUAUCAAACAGAGUCCAAACGGAAUGAAACCUUCAGGAGCGUGAGUUUUGGAACAAACGUGAUCCAAGGGACUUGGAGUGCAAGUCAAGAAGCAAUCGAGGCGGCCACCAGGGUGGAGGGCGCCCCCUAUCUCGUGGGCCCCUCGGGCGUCCACCGACCUACUUCUUCCUCCUAUAUAUACCCACGUACCACGAGAACAUCAAAGGCGACCACGAAAAACUAUUUCCACCACCGUAACCUUCUGUAUUCACGAGAUCCCAUCUUGGAGCCUUCGUCAUUGCUCCAUCGGAGAGGGAAUCAACCAUGGAGGGCUUCUACAUCAACACCAUAGCCUCUCCAAUUAGUUGUGAGUAGUUUACCACAGACCUUCGGGUCCAUAGUUAUUAGCUAGAUGGCUUCUUCUCUCUCUUUGAAUCUCAAUAUCAUGUUCUCCUCGAUCUUCUUGGAGAUCUAUACGGUGUAACUCUUUUUGCGAUGUGUUUGUCUCGAUCCGAUGAAUUGUGGGUUUAUGAUCAAGUUUAUCUAUGAGAAAUAUUUGAAUCUCCUCUGAAUUCUUUUAUGUGUGAUUAAGUUAUCUUUGCAAGUCUCUUCAAAUUAUCAGUUUGGUUUGGCCUACUAGAUUGAUCUUUCUUGCAAUGGGAGAAGUUCUUAGCUUUGGGUUCAAUCUUGCGGUGUCCUUUCCCAGUGACAGCAGGGGCAGCAAGGCAUGUAUUGUAUUGUUGUCAUCGAGGAUAAAAAGAUGGGGUUCAUAUCAUAUUGCAUGAGUUUAUCCCUCUACAUCAUGUCAUCUUUCUUAAUGCGUUACUCUGUUAUUUAUGAACUUAAUACUCUAGAUGCAUGCUGGAUAGCGGUCGAUGUGUGGAGUAAUAGUAGUAGAUGCAGGCAGGAGUCGGUCUACUUGUUAUGGACGUGAUGCCUAUAUACAUGAUCAUGCCUAGAUAAUCUCAUAAUUAUUUGCUUUUCUAUCAAUUGCUCGACAGUAAUUUGUUCACCCACCGUAAUACUUAUGCUAUCUUGAGAGAAGCCACUAGUGAAACCUAUGGCCCCCGGGUCUAUCUUUUAUCAUAUAAGCUUUCAAUCUACUUUUAUUUGCAUCUUUACUUUUCCAAUCUAUAUUAUAAAAUACCAAAAAUAUAUUUAUCUUAUCAUACUAUCUCUAUCAGAUCUCACUUUCGUAAGUGGCCGUGAAGGGAUUGACAACCCCGUUAUUGCGUUGGUUGCGAGUUCUUGUUUGUUUGUGUAGGUGCGUCGGACUUUUGAGGAGCCUCCUACUGGAUUGAUACCUUGGUUCUCAAAAACUGAGGGAAAUACUUACGCUACUAUUGUUGCAUCACCCUUUCCUCUUCAAAGAAAACCAACGCAAGCUCAAGACGUAGCAUGCCUAUAUACAUGAUCAUGCCUAGAUAUUCUCAUAACUAUGCACUUUUCUAUCAACUGCUCGACAGUAAUUUGUUCACCCGCCGUAAUAUUUAUGCUAUCUUGAGAGAAGCCACUAGUGAAACCUAUGGCCCCGGGUCUAUUUUCCAUCAUAUAAGUUUCCGAUCUACUUUAUUUAGCAAUCUUUACUUUUCAAUCUAUAUCAUAAAAAUACCAAAAAUAUUUAUCUUAUUAUUAUCUCUAUCAUAUCUCACUUUCGCAAGUGGCCGUGAAAAGAUUGACAACCCCUUUAUCGCGUUGGUUGCGAGGUUCUUGUUUGUUUAUGUAGGUACGAGGGACUUGCGUGUAGCCUCCUACUGGAUUGAUACCUUGGUUUUCAAAAGUUGAGGGAAAUACUUACGCUACUUUGCUGCAUCACCCUUUCCCGCUUCAAGGGAAAACCAACGCAGUGCUCAAGAGGUAGCAAGAAGGAUUUCUGGCGCCGUUGCCGGGGAGGUCUACGCACAAGUCAAGACAUACCAAGUACCCAUCACAAACUCUUCUCCUCGCAUUACAUUAUUUUCCAUUUGCCUCUUGUUUUCCUUUCCCCCACUUCACCCUUGCCGUUUUAUUCGCGCUCCCUUUCCCGUUCGCCUCUUUUUCCGCUUGCUUCUUGUGGUACUUGCUUUCACUAUGUCUGAAACUGGGGAGGUUAUCAUUGAUAAGGACAAUAGUAAUAACAUGGGAAACUUUGAUGCUUUUGAUGAUCCUACUGAAGAAACCACUAUCUUACAUACUAAAAGAUUUCGAAUCGGUAGUGGUAAUAUUAUUGGAAAAGGGGUUAUUCAAGAUUCUUUACUUGUGUUGGUGCUUUACCUUCUAUGGGUGGAUCUAUUCUUCAUAGAACUAGUAGUCUUGCGGAUGCUAUAUCCUUGCUUAUAGUUGAACUUGAAAGACAGUUUAUGCAUAUGCAUCCUUGCAUACAAAGGAUUUUUCUAGAAUUUUCCAAUAUUGAGCAUUCUUCUGUUAAGCGCGCAGCUACUAUCUUUUUGGCACAUGAGUUCAGAUUUAUAAUAAAAGAAGCCAGAGAAAUCUUUGCGCACUAUAGGGUGGACGCUGGUCGCCCUCCCAUUUAGGCGAUCCUUUUUAAUCAAGAAGACAUAAUGCGUUUACAAUCCUUAGAUCGUGUUGCUUUUAAUGAAAACCUUAGGAAAAAGGUUCCUACCGAUGUUCUAGUUGAUAGAAUCUCUGAACUUAAUGAUGAUUUUGCUAUUCAUAACAAUGGGUUGGGAUUUUCUCUUGAGCAAAGGCUCAUGACUUUUUGCCAAAAGAAUGCUUAUAAUGAUGAAUUGGUUGUGUAAUAUGAAGGGCCAAAGGAGGAACCCAUACCUCCCGAGCUUGAUCUUGGGGACUUUUGUCCCAUUAAAUUUAGCCCUUUUGAUUACUUUUGCUUGCCACAAAGAAAACUUGUUGUUGAACGUAGGGAAUAUGAGAUGAGUUUUCGUGAUUUACCUUAUCAUUACGGCAAUAAUUAGAUCUAUUCUCGCUUUUAUGCCUAGCUAGGGGCGUUAAACGAUAGCGCUUGUUGGGAGGCAACCCAAUUUUAUUUUUGUUCUUUACUUUUUGCUCCUGUUUAGUAUUAAAUAAUUCAUCUAGCCUCUGGUUAGAUGUGGUUUUAUGUUUUAGUUAGUGUUUGUGCCAAAUAGAACCUAUAGGAUCAUCUUGGGUGAUAGUUAAUUUGAUCUUGCUAAAAAACAGAAACUUUUGCGCACACGAGAAUAAUUUUAAUAAAUCACAGAAACAUGAUUUUGAGUUGAUUAUUUUUUAAGAAGAUUAAUAGACAAAUUUACUAGGACUUCCUAUUUUCGUAGGACUUUUAAGGUUCUAGAAGUAUUCGAAAGUUACAGAUUACUACAGACUGUUCUGUUUUUGACAGAUUCUGUUUUUUGUGUGUUGUUUGCUUAUUUUGAUGAAUCUAUGGCUAGUAUCGGGGGGUAUGAACCAUAGAUAAGUUGGAAUACUGCAGGUUUAACACCAAUAUAAAUAAAGAAUGAUUUCAUUACAGUACCUUAAAGUGGUGGUUUGCUUUUUUGCACUAACGGAGCUCAUGAGAUUUUUUGUUGAGUUUUGUGUUGUGAAGUUUUCAAGUUUUGGGUAAAGAUUUGAUGGAUUAUGGAAUAAGGAGUGGCAAGAGCCUAAGCUUGGGUAUGCUCAAGGCACCCCAAGAUAAAUUCAAGGACAACCAAAAGCCUAAGCUUGGGGAUGCCCCGGAAGGCAUCCCCUUGUCUUCAUCUAUCAGUAACUUUACUUGGAGCUAUAUUUUUAUUCACCACAUGAUAUGUGUUUUGCUUGGAGCGUCUUGAAUGAUAUGAGUCUUUGAUUUUUAGUUUACCACAAUCAUCCUUGCUGUACACACAUUUUGGGAGAGACACACAUGAAUCGGAAUUUAUUAGAAUACUCUAUGUGCUUCACUUAUAUCUUUUGAGCUAGAUAAUUUUGCUCUAGUGCUUCACUUAUAUCUUUUUAGAGCACGGCGGUGGUUUUAUUUUGUAGAAAUUAUUGAUCUCUCAUGCUUCACUUAUAUUAUUUUGAGAGUCUUUUAGAACAGCAUGGUAUUUGCUUUGGUUAUAAAAUUAGUCCUAAUAUGAUGGGCAUCCAAGUUGGGUAUAAUAAAAAUUGUCAUAGAAAGUGCAUGAAACACUAUAAGAAAUUUGAUACUUGAUAAUUGUUUUGAGAUAUAAAGGUGGUAAUGUUAGAGUCAUGCUAGUUGGGUAAUUAUGAAAUUGAGAAAUACUUGUGUUAAAGUUGGCAAGUCCCGUAGCAUGCACGUAUGGUAAACGUUGUGUGACAAAUGUGUUGCACGGGGUGUUCUUUUGAUUGCCUUCCUUAUGUGUGGAGGUCGGGAUCGCGCGAUGGUUAACUCCUACCAACCCUUCCCCUAGGAGCAUGCGUAGUAGUACUUUGCUUCGAGGGCUAAUAAACUUUUGCAAUAAGUAUAUGAGUUCUUUAUGACUAAUGUGAGCCCAUGGAUUAUACGCACUCUCACCCUUCCACCAUUGCUAGCCUCUCUUGUGCCGCGCAACUUUCGCCAGUAUCAUACACCCACCAUUUACCUUCCUCAAAACAGCCACCAUACCUACCUAUUAUGGAAUUUCUAUAGCCAUUCCAAGAUAUAUUGCCAUGCAACUCUCCACCGUUCCGUUUAUUAUGACACGCUCCAUCAUUGUCAUAUUGCUUUUGCAUGAUCAUGUAGUUGACAUCGUAUUUGUGGCAAAGCUACCGUUAUAAUUCUUUCAUACAUGUCACUCUUGAUUCAUUGCAUAUCCUGGUACACCGCUGGAGGCAUUCACAUAGAGUCAUAUUUUGUUCUAAGUAUUGACUUGUAAUUCUUGAGUUGUAAAUCAAUAAAAGUGUGAUGAUCUUCAUUAUUAGAGCAUUGUCCCAAGUGAGGAAAGGAUGAUGGAGACUAUGAUUCCCCCACAAGUCACUAUGAGACUCCGGACCUCAUGAUAAAUAAAAGAGGCCAAAGAAGCCCAAAUAAAAAAGAGAGGCCAAAGAAGCCCACCCAAAAAAAUGAGAGAAAAAGAGAGAAGGGACAUUGUUACUAUGCUUUUUCCAGACUUGUGCUUCAAAGUAGCACCAUGAUCCUCAUGGUAGAGUCUCCUAUGUUGUCACUUUCAUAUACUUGUGGGAAUUUUUCAUUAUAGAACUUGGCUUGUAUAUUACAAUGAUGGGCUUCCUCAAAAUGCCCUAGGUCUUUGUGAGUAAGCGAGUUGGAUGCACACCCACUUAGUUUCUUUUGUUGAGCUUUCACACAUUUAUAGCUCUAGUGCAUCUGUUGCAUGGCAAUCCCUACUCACUCACGUUGAUAUCUAUUAAUGGGCAUCUCCAUAGGCCGUUGAUACGCCUAGUCAAUGUGAGACUUUCUCCUUUUUUGUCUUCUCCACACAACCUCCAUCAUCAUAUUCUAUUCCACCCAUAGUGCUAUAUCCAUGGCUUACGCUCAUGUAUUGCGUGAGAGUUGAAAACGCUGAAGCGCGUUAAAAAGUAUGAACCAAUUGCUUGGCUGAAACCGGGGUUAUGCAUGAUGGGAGUAUUUUGUGUGACAAAAAUGAAGCAUAGCCUAACUAUAUGAUUUUGUAGGGAUAAGCUUUCUUUGGCUACAUUAUUUUGAUAAGACAUGAUUACUUGUUAGUAUGCUUAAAGUAUUACUAUUUUUAUGUUAAUAUGAACUUUUAUUUUGAAUCAUUUGGAUCUGAACAUUCAUGCCACAAUAAAGAAAAUUACAUUGAGAAAUAUGCUAGGUAGCAUUCCACAUCAAAAAUUCUGUUUUUAUCAUUUACCUACUCGAGGACGAGCAGGAAUUAAGCUUGGGGAUGCUUGAUACGUCUCCAAGGUAUCUAUAAUUUUUUAUUGUUCCAUGCUAUAUAUUACCCGUUUUGGAUAUUUAUGGGUUUUACUAUACACUUGUAUAUCAUUUUUUGGACUAACCUAUUAACCGGAGGCCCAGCCCAAAUUGUUGUUUUUGCCUAUUUCAGUGUUUCGCAGAAAAGGAAUAUCAAACGGAGUCCAAACGGAAUGAAACCUUCGGGAGAGUUAUUUUUAAAACAAACGCAAUCCAGGAGACUUGGAGUGGAUGUCAAGAAAAAAACAAGGCGGCCAUGAGGCAGGGAGGCGCGCCCUAGGGGGGUGGGCGCGCCCCCCACCCUCGUGGGCCCCUCGUGGCUCCUCUGACCGACUUUCUUCGCCUAUAUAUAUCUACAUACCCUGAAAACAUCCAGGAGCACCACGAAACCCUAUUUCCACAACCGCAACCUUCUGUACCCGUGAGAUCCCAUCUUGGAGCUUUUUCCGGCGCUCCGCCGGAGGGGGAAUCGAUCACGGGGGGCUUCUACAUCAACACCAUAGCCUCUCCGAUGAGUUGUGAGUAGUUUAUCACAGACCUUCGGGUCCAUAGUUAUUAGCUAGAUGGCUUCUUCUCUCUCUUGAAUCUCAAUACAAAGUUCUCCUCGAUCUUCUUGGAGAUCUAUUCGAUGUAAUUCUUUUUGCGAUGUGUUUGUGGAGAUCCAUGAAUUGUGGGUUUAUGAUCAAGUUUAUCCAUGAGAAAUAUUUGAAUCUCCUCUAAAUUCUUUUAUAUAUGAUUGGUUAUCUUUGCAAGUCUCUUCGAAUUAUCAGUUUGCUUUGGCCUACUAGAUUUAUCUUUUUUGCAAUGGGAGAAGUGCUUAGCUUUGGGUUCAAUCUUGCGGUGUCCUUUCCCAGUGACAGCAGGGGCAGCAAGGCACGUAUUGUAUUGUUGCCAUCGAGGAUAAAAAGAUGGGGUUUAUAUCAUAUUGCUUGAGUUUAUCCCUCUACAUUAUGUCAUCUUGCCUAAUGCGUUACUUUGUUCUUAUGAACUUAAUACUCUAGAUGCAUGCUGGAUAGCGGUCGAUAUGUGGAGUAAUAGUAGUAGAUGCAGGCAGCAAUCGGUCUACUUGUCGCGGACGUGAUGCCUAUAUACAUGAUCAUGCCUAGAUAUUCUCAUAACUAUGCACUUUUCUAUCAAUUGCUCGACAGUAAUUUGUUCACCACCGUAAUACGUAUGCUAUCUUGAGAGAAGCCACUAGUGAAACCUCUGGCCCACGGGUCUAUCUUUUAUCAUAUAAGCUUUCAAUCUACUUUUAUUUGCAUCUUUACUUUUCCAAUCUAUAUUAUAAAAAACCAAAAAUAUAUUUAUCUUAUCAUACUAUCUCUAUCAGAUCUCACUUUCGCAAGUGGCCGUGAAGGGAUUGACAACCCCUUUAGCGCAUUGGUUGCGAGGUUCUUGUUUGUUUGUGUAGGUACGAGGGACUUGCGCGUAGCCUCCUACUGGAUUAAUACCUUGGUUCUCAAAAGCUGAGGGAAAACUUACGCUACUUUGCUGCAUCACCCUUUCCUCUUCAAGGGAAAACCAACACAGGGCUCAAGUGGUAGCAAUGGGUUUUCCACUGAAUCUCACAUUCCAGGAUCCUAGCAUUUAUAGCAUGAAAUAUAAACUCUUAAUAAUGAACCUGGAAAUAUAAUAAUAUUAUAUUAUUGCCUCUAGGGCAUAUUUCCAAUAGUAUUCAACUUGCACUGAAGUCAAUAAUCUAGUUAGCACAUUUUUAUUUACACCAAUGGCAGUCUGGUGUUUGUCCAUACUCAGCUUGUGGUAUAGCCUUCAUCCCAUUGGAUCUUGAAAACUUCAUAUCCACGUGUAUCAUAUGCAUUUCAAUGCCUCUAUCAUGAUGGCUUUGUAUGUAUUGAAUCACUAGAAGGACCUAUGAUUCCUUGGACUGAGCUAUAGAACCACUAUUAAGUAUAGUGUUUCAUUGGCACAAUCAUCUAGAAAUCAUAACAAUCUCAUAAAUGAAAGUGUUAUUGAUCACUCUCCAUUGUUGCUUCUAAAGCAACAAUCUACUCAGCCCUCUGUUAUAGAUUUCACCACAGUAACCAACAACCCAACAAACACACUGCAAAAAACAUUACAUCGGAUAGAACUCCAAGAAGAUCGAGGAGAACAUUGUAUUGAAGAUCAAAGAGAGAAGAAGCCACUAGCUACUAGCUAUGGACUCGUAGGUCUGCGGUGAAUUGCUCACACAUCAUCGGAAGGCGGCACGGAUGAUGCAGAAGCCCUCAGUGAUCGAUUCCCCCUCCGGCGGAGUACCGGUAAAGCCCUCCAGAUGGAAUCGCGGAAGAAUAGAAGCUUGUGGUGGUGGAAAAAGUGUUUCGGAUGGCUCUCUGUUGGUUUGGGAAUAUUUGUGAAUUUAUAGGCUUGGAAUUAGGUCAAACGGAGUUGCGUGGGCCCAUAAGCUCAGGGGGCGCACUUUGUGAGCUCGUGGCUCUCUUGUAGCUCUUCUGGCCUCCUCCCGAACCUUCUAGGACCCCUUCUGGUCCAGAGAAAAUAACCAUAAUUCAUCGUAUUUGGACUUCGUUUGGUAUUGUUUUUCUGAAAAGCCAAAACAAGUAAAAAAUAGGAACUAGCACUGGGCAAUGGGUUAAUAGGUUAGUCCCAAAAGUGGUAUAAAAUAGCAUAAAAAUGCAUAUAAUCCAGGAUUGAUAAUAUAAUAGCAUGAAACAAUCAAAAGUUAUAGAUAUAUUGGAGACGUAUCAGCAUUCCCAAGCUUAAUUCCUGCUCGUCCUUGAGUAGGUAAAUGAGAAUAACAGAAUUUUUGUGUAUACAUGUAUUAUUUGUAGUGAGAUAUGUACAUGACAAAGAGCGAUACUACUGCCAGGAUCAGACCAAUGUACAUGACAUAAGAAAGAGGUGGCACAUCUCUGAAUGCAAGGUCCAUGGCAACAAGCAGACGCAAUGGAAAAGACAGAUUGUUUUGUCAUCUUUUGCAGCGCCAUCCUUUAGUAUGUCAGGGAGCAGCUAAGGAAUGAAAUCAUGCUCCAUUUUGGAUCAUAAGAUUUUAAUUUGACCAUAAGCUAAGCCUCCACCACACGAAAAGUGAUGAAAAUACAAAAUUUGUUAUGUGAUGCAAUACAAUGCAAAUCUUAUGUACUCCCUCUGUAAAGAAAUAUAAGAGCGUUUAGAUCAUUACUUUACACGUUACCAUCGUAAUCUCAAGCUUUGAAUUUAGUACUACUCAUUAAUCAAUUGUGUGAUCUUAAGAAAAUGCUAUACCUCUAAAAUGAACAACUAAAAGGUCAUGAGACACGUAGUGAUCUCCAAAUAAAUUGGUUGUUCUAGGGGAAAAGUGAUGAAAAGUGUUGUUCUAGGGGAAAAGUGAUGACAAGCAUGGAUUAUCUGUUUCGUCAUCUUGGGAGGGGGAGGGUCAUCCACAUGACCACAAGCCAAGCCCACACCCCACGUCAAGUGAUGCAAAUCCCAAUCAUGUCAUGUCAUGAUUUACAAUGCAAAUCUUCUUUAAAACUUUACACAUUGGCAUCACUAUCUUAAGCUUGGCAUUUGGUACUCCCUACGAUCCAUAUUUGUUGUCGCUCAAACGGAUGUAUCUAGCACUAAAAUACAUCUAGAUACAUCUGUUUCAGCGACAACUAAUAUGAAUCAAAGGGAAUACUACUAAUUAGUUGUGUGAUCUUAAUAAAACACCAUGCUUCUAAAAUGAACAGGUCACGAGGCGUGUACCAAUCUCCAGAUGAAUUUGAUGUUCUACAGAAUUCAUAUGUGCGGAAAGAUAAGACUGAAAACCGCACACUUACCCGGGAUAGGAUGGGAUAUUUUGAGAAAUAGAUAAGGAUUAGUUCAGGUUUCUCCCAUAUAUACGAAAUGACUGGACGAUGACUAAUUAAACGAGAGACAACAAACCACUUAUCUUCCUUUAUGACUCAAUUGAUCGAGAGCCUUCCCAAGUUGCUUUUGCGGUUUUGUUGGUCACAAUGCAGAUGCUUUGAACCUUUGCACAACCGUGGGCAUGUGGCUCCCGUUAAAUAGCCACAAGAUACCAUAAAAUUAGCACUUCCAAAGUUCCCAUUUACUCUCUCUUCCUCUCAAGUCUAACCAAAGCCCAACAAACCACCACCUCGGCCAUGGCAACCACCCUCGCCACCGACGUCCGCCUCUCCAUCGCGCACCAGACCCGCUUCGCCCUCCGUCUCGCCUCCACCAUCUCAUCCAACCCUAAGUCUGCUGCCAGCAAUGCCGCCUUCUCCCCGGUCUCCCUCUACUCCGCACUUAGCCUCCUCGCCGCUGGCGCGGGCAGUGCCACUCGGGACCAACUCGUCGCCACACUCGGGACAGGCAAGGUCGAGGGACUCCACGCGCUCGCCGAGCAGGUGGUCCAGUUUGUGCUCGCCGACGCGUCCUCCACUGGUGGUCCGCNNN